GUGGGGAAUAUUGGGCAAUGGGCGAAAGCCUGACCCAGCAACGCCGCGUGAAGGAAGAAGGUUUUCGGAUCGUAAACUUCUAUCCUUGGUGAAGAUAAUGACGGUAGCCAAGAAGGAAGCCCCGGCUAACUACGUGCCAGCAGCCGCGGUAAUACGUAGGGGGCAAGCGUUGUCCGGAAUGAUUGGGCGUAAAGGGCGCGUAGGCGGCCCGGUAAGUCUGAAGUGAAAGUCCUGCUUUUAAGGUGGGAAUUGCUUUGGAUACUGUCGGGCUUGAGUGCAGGAGAGGUAAGCGGAAUUCCCGGUGUAGCGGUGAAAUGCGUAGAGAUCGGGAGGAACACCAGUGGCGAAGGCGGCUUACUGGACUGUAACAGACGCUGAGGCGCGAAAGUGUGGGGAGCAAACAGGAUUAGAAACCCGUGUAGUCC
RNAcentral lists this ribosomal RNA (425 nucleotides) under uncultured bacterium. RNAcentral's name for it is "partial 16S ribosomal RNA". It matches the Rfam family "Bacterial small subunit ribosomal RNA", at positions 354 to 796 of the family's 1533-position model. The record is from RNAcentral.